RNA transcript from Diachasmimorpha longicaudata, 6180 nucleotides. It is a transcript of the gene named putative sodium-dependent multivitamin transporter, with no coding region annotated. The transcript has 12 exons. The record is from RefSeq and is a predicted model, not a curated record. NCBI's taxonomy places the organism in Eukaryota, Metazoa, Arthropoda, Insecta, Hymenoptera, Braconidae.
UCUCACUGCAACAAGUUUGAUGAAAAAAUUAUUUGAGUUUUUCAAUUAUCCAGUACUUCAUUUCGACUCGUGAGAUAUUCUCAGGAUAAUUCCUAGGGGAAUUUUAGACAGGAAGCGGUAGAUUUUAUCAGUUUAGCUCGGAAUAUCAACAGAACGUCUCAACAGUCUCAUCCGGACUGCAUUUGGUAUUGUGAACAAUUGUUUUUUUAACGCGGGAGAAACAAAUUUUUGCUUUGCGUUCAGGUGCGACGAUUUUUGUGGAUUUGUGAUUCGAAAAGGACUUUUCGAACAAAAAUUAUUUCGACUCGUGUGAGUGGAAUAGUUGGUCUCGUGUCGGCAGCCCCCACGAGAAAAUAAAAAGUUGUGGGGGUCAACUAAAAUUCCAAAUAAUGACAAAAUCUUUGAACUGAUCGAUUGAACAAAUUCAUUUUACGGUACUGGACGAUAUUUCUUGUGGAAUUUCUUCCUCCGUUGGGAAUUAUUUUUUACAACCAGCUGUUAAAGCCACAAAACGUAAUUAUGUAGAGAGUGAUCAAGAUAACAAUAUUUUUCCCAUAUGCCUACUAAUUCUCGAAGAAUUUCCUCUCCUUCUGGAAUGUGCUGAUGAAACACUAUUCUUCUCUUAAAUGCAUGGUAGGAGUGAGUAAUAAAAGUAAAGGAAAAGAAAUCCACUUGUCGCCUUCACCGAACAAGUCAGGCAUUUUGAGAUAAUUAUCAGUGACCUUGAGACGGCAUGUUAUUCAUAUGUUUACCCACUAUUGCUCCUCUAUUUUCAAACAUCGGUGAAUAUCAAAGUCUGGAGGAUUAUGUCGCUUAUCAAAUAAAAAUCGACAGUGCUGGAUUCCAUCAUAAAGAUGUGAGGAAUUGAUGCUUUUCAAAUUUAAUCGGAAUUUAAUGGAAUUCAAAAUUGCUGAAGGUCGUACACCAAAAAUUUUCAUUUCACCCGAAAAUUCGAGGUAACAAGUGUCAAUACUUGUGUUGGGGAAUUAUUCGCGGGCUGAAAAGUCGGAAAAAUUACUGUGCCAGGGACUAGAAUAGAGGUGCAAAAUGCUAGAAUAGGGGAAUGUGUUUUACUCACAUAUAAAAAUCCCUAUCAAUACCGUAAAUUUUGUAAUAAAUUUUUUAAUUAAUGAUAGGUAGCUUCGUAAAAGUGAAUAAACAGCGCUAUAAAAUUUAAAGGUCUAUCAUUUUUUAUUUGAGGUUAAAUUAAAAAUUGAUAGAAAUAUUUUUAAAAAUCCUAUCUAGGUCCAUUAAUUUUAUUGGGCCUUCCUUCAUUUUUUACUGUGCUACACAGCGAUUUUUCGGUACCUCAUUGUGAUUGGUUAAUGAUGAGCGCCGACUACAGCCGAUUAAUGCCGACGGUGGACUCCGUGAUGGGAAAUGUUGCAUCAGAAUUUGAAUUUUCAUUGUAGUAAUUUUAUAGUAAUAUAUCUCAGACAUAGUAAUUUUUUACGAGGCCGAUAGAGAAAUUUUCCGAAGCUGAUAAAGAAAUUGUACAAUGCCGCAUCGGAAUUCUAUUCUCAGGCCUUGAGUUUGCGCCGAUAUUGUAAAACUGCACAAUAAUUUUUAUGGGAAUCACGCUAUAAAAAUUGUCAGAUUUUUCUCUCCGUGUAAAAAAAGCAAAAAAAUGUUUACUAAAACAAUUUACGCAAAUUUCAUUUAUAAGCAAACGAUGGAAUACUUUAAUUCAUAAUUUAAAUUAUUGUUUUAGAAAAUUGAUAGAUCGGUUUUUGAUAUAUUGAAAUUAGAAUUUACAGGAAAAUUAUAAAUUAUGAAUAUCUCGUACGUUAGUACUUCUGUAUAUCUCAUCAACACUCGCUUUCUCAUUUUCAUGACUCCGCUGAUAAAAUACCCCUCGAGGGCGUGGUAAAUAAUGAUGAAGAUAUCAGGUAUUGAGACAGUCGUGAUCGUACGCUCGAUCCUAUCAUUUCUAGUGGAAAAAUAUUACACGCGAUCGACGGUCUCCGAAAAAAAUUUGAGUGAGAGAUCAUUUUAAUGUCACUGAGUGUCUUUUAUUCGGGAUAAAAAUAAAUAUGAAUGUCAGCAAAAAGAAAAAAUAUUGAUCAAAGUCAAUGUUUCAGUUUAAACUCAAAUUCAAAAUUCUCUCGACAGGGAAAUAUUCAAUCUUUCACUGAAAAUUGUAUAUUUCCUUAUAAAUGCGACGGGGUGACAACGGGUGUGAAGUUAGUGGCCCGAGACGAACCCGAGGACUGCAAACCACACGAGUUAAAACAUCCCAUCGCAAGAGUAUUCGAACUAUACUUUGUGUUAGUGAUUGUUAGUGUCAUUUUUCGUUUACAAAUUUUGACUUUUCGUUUACAAGUAAAUGAAAAGACACUUUUCGACAAGGGCUGAACAUAGCAGCAGCGACAAAAAUAAUAUUUUGAAGACAAGUUCUCAAAAAAUUGACUGAACGAAAAAACAAAUCAAUGAACGAUCUUUUUAUUUACAUUUGUGAACAAUAAAAAUAAGCAAAGAAAGAUUGGAUGAGUGGAUUGGUCGAAAAAUUCUCCACCAAUAAAACUGACUGUUCAUUAGAUUUUUCUGCUUUAGUGACAUUAGUAAACAAAUUACUCGCAAUUUUCAAACAUGUCCGAGACAUUAGUGUGGAUUGAUUACGUCAUAAUAACGUGUACACUGCUAAUCAGUUCAGGAAUCGGAUUGUAUUACCGAUUCUCCGGUGGACGUCAGAAAACUACUGAGGAAUUUUUUGUUGCUAAUCGAGAUAUGGGAGUCACGACAAUCGCAAUUGGUCUUAUGGUGUCACUGUUAUCAGCUGUUAGUCUGCUGGGUGUCAGUUCCGAGAUUUAUAUGCAUGGAACACACUAUGUAGUGAUCGUUUUGGGAUAUGCCCUUGCUACACCGGUCAUUGCUUAUUUUUAUCUGCCGGUGUUUUUUAAUUUGGGAGAUACCAGUGCAUUUCAGUAUUUAGAGAAACGAUUUGGAGUGAAAACACGACUAGUAGCAAGCACAAUAUUUCUCGUACAAUUUCUAUUGUACAGUGGGGUUGUUUUGUAUGCACCUGCACUUGCACUGGAAGCGACCACCGGUCUCUCUACGACAAUAAGUGUCAUCAUUAUCGGAGCCGUUUGCACUUUUUACUCCACCAUCGGAGGAAUGAAGGCAGUUUUGAUUACAGAUGUUUUUCAGGGAAUUUUGAUGAUUGCCUCGGUCGUGAUUGUCAUUGUUACGGCUGUUUUGGACGUUGGGGGGAUCAAUAAAAUUUGGGACAUAGCAGUCGAGGGGAAGAGAAUUGAUUUUAACAGCACUUCAUUUGAUCCUACCGUCCGUCACACCUGGUGGAAUUUGAUAAUUGGUGGAUUCUUCAUAUAUUUAUCGCUGUACGGAGUCAAUCAGAUUCAGGUCCAGAGGGUAUUGACAAUCAGAAAUUUGAAAAGAGCGAAAGCAGCGGUCUGGCUCUCUCUCCCCAUCACUGUAAUCCUCGUCUGUGGGAUCAGCUUCUCGGGACUCGCUUUGUACUCGAAAUACCGCAACUGCGAUCCCAGAACAGCGGGUGCCAUCGCCUCCAAUGACCAAUUAAUGCCUCAUUAUAUCAUGGAAAAUUUAUCCAAGUACCCGGGAAUUCCAGGGCUGUUCAUCGCGGGAAUAUUCAGCGCUGGACUCAGCACAGUAUCUGCUGUACAAAAUUCUGCAGCUGCUAUAAUAUUAGAGGACUAUGUAAAGCCUGUUUUCCAAGCUCGACAAAAAACAUUCACCGAGGAUCAAUCCGCCUACACUAGUAAAUUCCUAGCAUUCCUGAUGGGUCUGGUCUGCCUAGCGGUGGCCCUCCUAGCCCAACAGCUGGGUAAUCUCCUGCAGGCCGCUCUGACAAUAUUUGGAGUGGUCGGUGGGCCUCUCCUGGGUGUUUACACACUGGGAAUGUUCAUCGAGUCCGCCGACGAAAUAAGUGCAAUCCUCGGACUAAUUGCCAGCUUCAGUCUCUCCCUGUGGAUCGGCUUUGGCGAACCGAAGCCAGAAAUUCCAAAGCUCCCAGUUGACGUCAGUGGUUGCAACGUCACAAUGACCGACAGUACAAAUAAUCGAGGUAGUGCCACCGAUGAUGACAUAUUUUACCUCUAUCGGAUAUCCUACAUGUGGUACUGUGCACUUGGCUUCGUCUGUUGUCUCCUCAUCGGCCUUCUAACAUCCCUAAUCAUCAAUUUAUUAUCUGAGAGGAUAAAUAACGAAAGAAAAACAUUGAAUCCCGAUUUGUUCACUCCGUUGAUCGCCGCUAGAAUACGAAAACGACAGGAGAUGCGAAGGUAUUAGGGUGUUGAAUAAUAUUGUUGAGUCAACAUCGGUGAAGAAAUAUCCUCUCGUAUUCAUCCAUCGAAGAACAUUUGCGGUUUCCGGAGUGCUUUUGAAAUUCUUCGGCGUUGCCUCGACCUCAAAUUAUUCCAGUAUUUGUCGGCUUUGUGUGGAUUCAAUAUUGACAGUGUUGUAUUAGUACAAGUGCUUCGAGGAAAAUCACAGACUAUUUGAAGAAGAAACGUCUGGACUCUACGAUCCUCCCCACAGAGAAAGAAAUUUCGGAUGAAAGUUAGACCUCUAGAGGGCGAAACGUGGGAGGAAAUGAUGAUCCAUUACUUUUUAGAGGAAGUUUCGUAGGAAAAAUUAGACUUGGAAUAAAAUUUAAUUGUGACUGAAAUAUGGAAAGGUUUCACAAGGUCUCAUUGGGUUGAUGAACAGUCACUGGAUUAAAGAACUUUUCCGCAAUAAAUAUGUUAAUUAGUGCGCGGAUAUGAUCUUGAAAUUAAAUAAUUGAGCUGUCACAAAUUCCACUCGCAUCUCUACUUUCAUUGAGAGUCAAGAGAGAGAAAGAGAGUGGGAAACGGAUGACUGAGGGAGAUGGAGUUAUCACUGGUGGAGGCCACUGAGACCGGUGAUGCGAGGCCUCUUACAAUCAGGCACACUAUUCUUUUACUGUUAUAAACACACCGAUGUACGUACGCUCACCUAAACCUUCCAACUUGUACUCAAUUUUCAUUGUCAUUAGAGAGAGAACAAUAAGUUGGGGGCGGGAGGACUGAACGGCUUUAGAAAUCAGUUCAUUUAUUCGAUGGAUGCAGAAGUGUUAGGUGCCUGUAAUAGAUUCAGAUUAAAGUGGUUUUGAAAAAGAGACGAUUUUAUUUAAUUAAUUUGACGACAGAAUGCUAACCACCAGUGCCUCCAACCAUGAUCGACGGUUCCUCAGAGAAACGCAUUUCGAUGAUAAUAAAAAUUUAAUAACUUCCUACAAAGUUCAAUAAUAAAUUUAGAAUCGAGAAUUCAGGAACACAUUUUUAAACAUUUUCCACACUUUUACGGAUUUCCGUGGAAUAAGUGUCCUUUUAGUAUCGAUUUAUUGUCCGACUAAAUUGUUGUUUUACAAUGGGAAAAAUACUUUAAAGUUUAGUCAAAAUGUCAUUUGAUAAAAAUGCCUGAAGAAAGACCAAAAAUUUUUACAAAAAAUCGUUUUACAUUCCCUUAAUAAAAAUCAGCAUAAUUUUUUAGUUUCCUCUCUUCACCAUUGUAGACAUCAAGGAUUGUCGUACAUCAUUCACAAAAAAAUUGCAAAUAUUUAACACAUAUUCGCAUCCGUUUUACACAAUGUAACAACAAAAUCAAGGAAUGCGGAAAUGCCAACAAGUUCUCGCAACACCAAUAUUCCCACCUAAAAAUGCAUUUCGAUAAUAAGACAAAUCUCUAAUAACGUCCCGAAAAGCCCGAUAAAUUCAUAAUCGAGAAAUUUCUCCUUUGACAUAAAUAGCAAAAAAAACAUUUUCGAUAGUCAUUGGAGAUUAAACCAAUAUCGAUAAAAUUCUUUGAUAUGAUUUUCAGCCACGCGGAGAGCGUCUCAUACCAGUAGAAUCGGAGUGAGACUCUCCGAUGUGUUUAACUCAUCUAUUGCGCAUGCGCACUGGCUCAGUAACUGUUGGAAUGCGCGCGAGGCGUCCCUUUUCGUUCCUUUCACUGUCUCUUUCCCACUAACGCCGAUAUUGCGUGCUAAAUACCCCGGGGAAUUUCAAAAAUAUUUGUUUUCCCAUUUUUACGAGAACUCUACCCCCACCCCCGCCGCGAGCAUAAUGCGCCAGCAAUGACAAAAUCGAAAAAAAAAAAUCAAAACGACUGGGCACUUGGAAAAAAUUUGAAAUUUUUCCUUUAACGAGAUGAGCAUUUGAAAAUUAAUUGCAACCAAUG